GACAGAGGGUGCAAACGUUGUUCGGAAUUACUGGGCGUAAAGCGCGUGUAGGCUGCUCCGAAAGUCGGGUGUGAAAGCCCUGGGCUCAACCUAGGAAGUGCACUCGAAACUUCGGAGCUGGAGUCCUGGAGAGGAAGGCGGAAUUCUCGGUGUAGAGGUGAAAUUCGUAGAUAUCGAGAGGAACACCGGUGGCGAAGGCGGCCUUCUGGACAGUGACUGACGCUGAGACGCGAAAGCGUGGGUAGCGAACAGG
This 253-nucleotide ribosomal RNA is filed under the name uncultured bacterium. Its description in RNAcentral is "partial 16S ribosomal RNA". It matches the Rfam family "Bacterial small subunit ribosomal RNA", at positions 524 to 776 of the family's 1533-position model. The record is from RNAcentral.